CUCUCUCUCUCUCUCUCUCUCUCUCUCCUUUCUGUGCUCCUUUCUCUAUCCUCUAUCUUUUUUCUUCCUGGCUUCUGCUCCCUGAUGUACGGGCAUUAAGGCGUAUGGUAAAUGGUAAUGGGGGGGAGAGAUAGAAAGAGGGGGAGGGGUGGUUAUUAAUAGAGAGGGAUGGGAAUAGCAGAGGGGCUCAAGGCCUUCUCUUCUCUAAUGGAACGUGAAACGAGGAGACAUAAGAGUCUCUGGCCCUCUGCUCUUUUCUCUCUCUCUCUCUUCUGUCCUUCUCUCUCUACUCUGUGUCUUCUCCGCGUUGCGUCUCUCUCUCUCUCUCUCCCCUUUGUGGGGUGGCUGAUUUGCGUGAGGGAAAGAAGAUGGGGCAAGGGUUUUGUUGUUUUGUCAGGAUCUGCUGCAUUUGGAACAACUCCGAACACGUUUAUGAGGCACAGCAUCAUACCACGUAGAAGUUGAUUCUAUCUCGCGGUGCCAUUUCACUGGGUGAGGCCCGC
RNAcentral lists this long non-coding RNA (503 nucleotides) under Elaeis guineensis (African oil palm). RNAcentral describes it as "long non-coding RNA (EGUI_LNC036714)". The record is from RNAcentral. Lineage: Eukaryota; Viridiplantae; Streptophyta; Magnoliopsida; Arecales; Arecaceae.